GCAUUUAUUAGAUAAAAAGCCAGUUCAUGCUUUUACAGUAUGAAAAUUGGUGAUUUAUAAUAACUUAGCAAAUCGCAAAGUGAAAACAGGCGAUAAAUCAUUCAAGUUUCUGACCUAUCAGCUUUCGACGGUAUGGUAUUGGCUUACCGUGGCAGUGACGGUUAACGGGGGAUUAGGGUUCGAUUCCGGAGAGGGAGCCUGAGAAACGGCUACCACAUCUAAGGAAGGCAGCAGGCGCGCAAAUUACCCAAUUCUAACAGUUUGAGAGAGGUAGUAACAAGAAAUAACAAUACAAGGCAGUUAAAAUGCUUUGUAAUUGGAAUGAUAGAAAUUUAAACCCUUUUUAAAGUAUCAAUUGGAGGGCAAGUCUGGUGCCAGCAGCCGCGGUAAUUCCAGCUCCAAUAGCGUAUAUUAAAAUUGUUGCAGUUAAAAAGCUCGUAGUUGAAGUUCUGCUGAAAGUAACCGGUCUGCUUUUAAUAAAAGUGGUAUCUUGGUAUGUAUUUAGCAAUGAUGUCCUUUGAAGUGUUUUUUACUUUAUUGUAAUAAAGCAUAUUCAGGACUUUUACUUUGAGAAAAUUAGAGUGUUUCUAGCAGGCUGACGCUUUGAAUACUGCAG
RNAcentral lists this ribosomal RNA (616 nucleotides) under Hepatozoon canis. RNAcentral's name for it is "SSU rRNA". It matches the Rfam family "Eukaryotic small subunit ribosomal RNA", at positions 203 to 807 of the family's 1831-position model. Lineage: Eukaryota; Apicomplexa; Hepatozoidae. The record is from RNAcentral.